This 253-nucleotide ribosomal RNA is filed under the name uncultured bacterium. Its description in RNAcentral is "partial 16S ribosomal RNA". It matches the Rfam family "Bacterial small subunit ribosomal RNA", at positions 524 to 776 of the family's 1533-position model. The record is from RNAcentral.
UACGUAGGGGGCAAGCGUUGUCCGGAUUUAUUGGGCGUAAAGAGCGUGUAGGCGGCUAGAUAGGUCCGUUGUGAAAACUCGAGGCUCAACCUCGAGACGCCGGCGGAAACCAUCAGACUAGAGUCCGGAAGAGGAGAGUGGAAUUCCUGGUGUAGCGGUGAAAUGCGCAGAUAUCAGGAAGAACACCCGUGGCUAAGGCGGCUCUCUAGUACGGUACUGACGCUGAGACGCGAAAGCGUGGGGAGCGAACAGG